Molecule: transfer RNA, 75 nt
Filed under: Candidatus Obscuribacterales bacterium
Lineage: Bacteria; Bacillati; Candidatus Melainabacteria; Candidatus Obscuribacterales
Description: tRNA-Ile
Rfam family: tRNA
About the family: Transfer RNA (tRNA) molecules are approximately 80 nucleotides in length.
Source: RNAcentral
UGCCGCAUAACUUAACAGCAGAGUACUCACCCGAUAAGUGAGCAAGUGUAGGUGCAAAUCCUUCUGCGGCAACCA